GACGAACGCUGGCGGCGUGCUUAACACAUGCAAGUCGAACGGUGAACGAGGGAGCUUGCUCCCUCCGGAUCAGUGGCGAACGGGUGAGUAACACGUGAGCAAUCUGCCCCGAACUCUGGGAUAAGCGUUGGAAACGACGUCUAAUACCGGAUACGACGCGGGAGGGCAUCCUCUCCGCGUGGAAAGAACUUCGGUUCGGGAUGAGCUCGCGGCCUAUCAGCUUGUUGGUGAGGUAACGGCUCACCAAGGCGACGACGGGUAGCCGGCCUGAGAGGGUGACCGGCAACACUGGGACUGAGACACGGCCCAGACUCCUACGGGAGGCAGCAGUGGGGAAUAUUGCACAAUGGGCGAAAGCCUGAUGCAGCAACGCCGCGUGAGGGACGACGGCCUUCGGGUUGUAAACCUCUUUUAGCAGGGAAGAAGCGAAAGUGACGGUACCUGCAGAAAAAGCACCGGCUAACUACGU
RNAcentral lists this ribosomal RNA (469 nucleotides) under uncultured bacterium. RNAcentral's name for it is "partial 16S ribosomal RNA". It matches the Rfam family "Bacterial small subunit ribosomal RNA", at positions 28 to 506 of the family's 1533-position model. The record is from RNAcentral.